RNAcentral lists this ribosomal RNA (346 nucleotides) under uncultured bacterium. Its description in RNAcentral is "partial 16S ribosomal RNA". It matches the Rfam family "Bacterial small subunit ribosomal RNA", at positions 338 to 681 of the family's 1533-position model. The record is from RNAcentral.
CCUACGGGGGGCUGCAGUGAGGAAUAUUGGUCAAUGGGCGCGAGCCUGAACCAGCCAAGUAGCGUGAAGGAUGACUGCCCUACGGGGUGUAAACUUCGUUUAUAAAGGAAUAAAGUGAGGCACGUGUGCCGUUUUGUAUGUACUUUAUGAAUAAGGAUCGGCUAACUCCGUGCCAGCAGCCGCGGUAAUACGGAGGAUCCGAGCGUUAUCCGGAUUUAUUGGGUUUCAAGGGAGCGUAGAUGGGUUGUUAAGUCAGUGGUGAAAGUUUGCGGCGCAACCGUAAAAUUUCAAUUGAUACUGGCAGUCUUGCGUACAGUUGAGGUAGGCGGACUUCGUGGUGUAGCGG